This 459-nucleotide ribosomal RNA is filed under the name uncultured bacterium. RNAcentral describes it as "partial 16S ribosomal RNA". It matches the Rfam family "Bacterial small subunit ribosomal RNA", at positions 338 to 795 of the family's 1533-position model. The record is from RNAcentral.
CCUACGGGUGGCAGCAGUGAGGAAUAUUGGUCAAUGGCCGAGAGGCUGAACCAGCCAAGUCGCGUGAGGGAAGACGGCCCUACGGGUUGUAAACCUCUUUUGUCGGGGAGCAAAGCGAACCACGUGUGGUUCAUUGAGAGUACCCGAAGAAAAAGCAUCGGCUAACUCCGUGCCAGCAGCCGCGGUAAUACGGAGGAUGCGAGCGUUCUCCGGAUUUAUUGGGUUUAAAGGGUGCGCAGGCGGAGGUGCAAGUCAGCGGUAAAAUUGGGGGGCUCAACCCCGUACUGCCGUUGAAACUGCAUGCCUUGAGUGCGCGAGAAGUAGGCGGAAUGCGUGGUGUAGCGGUGAAAUGCAUAGAUAUCACGAAGAACCCCGAUUGCGAAGGCAGCAUACUGGAGUGCAACUGACGCUCAUGCACGAAAGUGUGGGUAUCGAACAGGAUUAGAUACCCCUGUAGUC